Molecule: long non-coding RNA, 2747 nt
Organism: Gallus gallus (chicken)
Lineage: Eukaryota; Metazoa; Chordata; Aves; Galliformes; Phasianidae
Source: Ensembl
UUUUUUUUUUUUUUAAUUCCUUGUUUUCUGACUGUAUGAUUAAUGUAAGUAAAUAAGUAAUCACCAGAUGGAAUGAAAUUCUGCUUCACGAACUUACUAAGUGCUGCAAUUAAAGUAACUUGAAAUAGUAACAUGAUUAGACUAUACACAAAUUAGUCAUUUUCACCAUUAAUGAAUGAGUCCAAAAGAUGCCCCCUUAAGAACUUAAACCACUCUGGAUUUAAAUAAAGGUAGAUGAUACAUGAAAGGUUAUGUUAAUGGAUUACUCUCUCAUUUAAUCUUUACAAUACCAGCAAUCCUAACACAUACUUUUGUAUCAUAUAAUAAUACAGUUAUCAUAUAAUAGUUUUGCAUUUUUUUUCUGUAAGAUUCAAUAUAUUCGAUGGCAUCUGACAAGCAUGUAUCAGUGAUAUGACAUGUACUUCAGCUGUGAGCUGGUGCUUAAUACUGGUAAUGAUGCAGGUAAAGGACAUCUUUGUCAUUUUGCAGAUGAUCUCAAAAGUAAAAUUCUGCAUUCCUAAUUUGGAUGUUCUUAUAAACCAUUUUGGUUCUGUCUUUGAUUAGUUGCCUCUCCUACCCUAAAUGCUGGAAGUUUCAGGCACAAAUGAUUUAUUAUUAUUAUUAUUUUUAAUAUCUCUCAUGUCAUAGACUCUGACUACUGUUCAAUGCCGGAAAACCUUUCAGGGCUCCACAGCAAGAACAUAAAGCUAUAGGCAAACCUAGGGCAUGGCUUAGAAUACUCAAGAGAAAAAAUAACUGCACUACUAUGGGCCCAUUUUGAGAGUAGUCAUCAAUAGUAUUUCCAAUAUUUUCUGUAGAGAUAACUUUUAGUUUUAUAUAGGUUUUGUACAACUUUCACUAAUUCCCUGCUGAUAUCCUUACAUGCAGUACAAAAUGUGCAGUCAUCCAAAUUAUUGAGAGGAGAUUCACAGUGAUCCAAGUUUUGUCUUGUUCUGUCAAGAAAUAUUCUCUUUCUCUAUUUAUAGAAUAUGAGACAAUCUACAGCAAAUAAGCUAUUGUACCUGUAGUCCCAGAUAAUUGAAAUGUGGGUGGCUAAUAUGCCCAUAUUGCGGAAGAAAAAUUUAGGUUAUGCUAGAAAUACAAUGCAAAAUAUUCUGGGCACUGUCCUUGUUGCUCAAGUACAAACCAAGGGGAAAGAAUUGUUUCUUUCUAAAUAACUCUAGCUUGGUGGUAUCUACCUCUGCUCAAGCCUUUCUCAGAAAGAGCCCAUGACCAUUUCCUACAGAUCUGAGAAAUGUGUUUAGGAAUAACAAGUAGUGUAACAAACAGAAUAUGACCAGGCUCUUUAGAAUUAGUGUUGAAGUCCUACUGCCCUCACUUCAGGAUCACUUCAUAUGGUUCCAUGAACCUAAUAUCUGUUUGAGAAUGGAGUACUGACGUCAGUAUCCAGACAAUAUAUCUCAGCUUAGUGUUCUCCAAAAGAAAGCUAGUUCUUGCCCAUGAGAAGACAUUAACACUGUGUUAAACAUAGCACAGUAAGUGGAGAUAAUCAGGAGAGUAACUUCAGAAACACAGUCCUGAUCUGAAGACAUUUAUGUAGAUGUCCACUUGAAAAUAUGUUGCAUCCAAUUUUUCUCAGUUUAUCUUUUUUAGAUAACCUCUUCAAGACUGUGGUAUUAUCAGUACCAAUAAGAAGUGUUUUACUACACUGGGAAACAUCAAUUUGCUUAUUUAUGGGAAAAAGCUAUGUAAUUUACAUAUUAUCUGACUCCAUCUCAAUUCCUUUAAUGAUAAGGAGUCUUCCAGUAAUAUCAUUUAGCAAAGAGGCUUGAGAUGUUGUCCAGACAAAGAUGUUAGGUUUAUUAGCUGAAAUGAGAAAUAUAUGCCAUGCUAAGUAUGUUUUUGUGAUGGUGACAGAAUUCUACUGAUCACAGGAUCUCCUAAAAGAGACUUUUUUCAUUUGCAUCAACCAUCCUUCCUUUCAGUCAUAGGAGACAUACAUAUUCCAGAGAUGAUACCAAAAAUUAGCCCAUUAAGCAGUUAAAAAAACAAACAAAAAUAAAAUAUAUCUCAGAAAAGCUUAAAGCUGCCACCACCACCUUAAGGAAUGAGCUCUUUCAAGAUGCAUAGCAGAAAUUUUCUUUCAUCUCAAAAACAUGAAGUUUAACAGGCAACUUUUAAGUACACUGUGACACACUUUUCUAUUGUAUUGUGAAACAUCUGAAUAUUGCACAACACUAGACUGAAGUGAGCAUUAUCAGCUUGUUACUUACAAACAGGAAAACUAAGAGAGAUUAAAUGCCCUACACAGUUUUGCUGUGCAAUAGCAGCAUAAGCAGCCUCUGAGCCGAGUCCUUCAGUCUACCCUAAUCACCAUGUCAAAUGACGGCUUUCCCUCUUUUUUUUUUUUAAGUUCCAAAUAUUUUUUAAGGAAAUCAACUGACUUUGUUGUUUGUUUCUUUAUAUGCUAUCCUUAUUGUUUGAGUUGCUCUUGCAGUUUGGAAAAUAAAGAUAUUUCAAGCUGCAUUUAUUCAUUUCCAUUAAAUAACCUUGACUUCUCAGGGCUUCAUCUCGUAAUGAAUAAAGGCAUUAUUUGUGCUUUCUCUUAACAUCUCCAUUCACACAUUUUGGUAUGGAGUACUUUUACUGAUAACAAUACAUUUCUGGAAAUCAGACUGCUUGUCACUAAAUUCAGGCUCACAUUCAGGAAAAUAUGUCUAAAAUGGGGUGGGGGGAAAUGGCAUUACAGCAAUAAAACAAUUAAAUAUUUGUCUAAAUUCAUAAGA